CGUGCUUAUCGCCGCCAAGCAUCACAAUCAUUAAAUAUGUACUUGAGAGCUGUUGCAUACAGAUGGUUGAUGCGAUUGUUUUAGUGGGUCUAUGAGAUGGGAGAAUACUUGGCCUUUACCUGCUUGUGUUUACCACAUAAAGUUCUUUUCAACACAUUUACCACAAUUUUGCUCUACAAUGGCCAUCGAACCAAUGUUUUUAAUGUGUACUUUUGGAUUUUCAGCCUUGCAGUUAAAGCAAAAUUUUUCAAAUAACUCAACCAAUGAGAUGUAAAAUACCAUGAACAUAGGUUGUUCAUGCGAGCUUACUCCUUCAUCAAUUCUGUAACACGAUUAAGAAAAUUCCUUAUUAUGAAAUACAACAGAGAUCUAAUUCUUUAUAAGAUAAAA
Xenia sp. Carnegie-2017 is the source of this 390-nucleotide long non-coding RNA. RefSeq lists it as uncharacterized. The transcript has 2 exons. Lineage: Eukaryota; Metazoa; Cnidaria; Anthozoa; Malacalcyonacea; Xeniidae. The record is from RefSeq and is a predicted model, not a curated record.